GACGAACGCUGGCGGCGUGCCUAAUACAUGCAAGUCGAACGCUUCUUUUUCCACCGGAGCUUGCUCCACCGGAAAAAGAGGAGUGGCGAACGGGUGAGUAACACGUGGGUAACCUGCCCAUCAGAAGGGGAUAACACUUGGAAACAGGUGCUAAUACCGUAUAACAAUCAAAACCGCAUGGUUUAGAUUUGAAAGGCGCUUUCGGGUGUCGCUGAUGGAUGGACCCGCGGUGCAUUAGCUAGUUGGUGAGGUAACGGCUCACCAAGGCCACGAUGCAUAGCCGACCUGAGAGGGUGGUCGGCCACAUUGGGACUGAGACACGGCCCAAACUCCGACGGGAGGCAGCAGUAGGGAAUCUUCGGCAAUGGACGAAAGUCUGACCGAGCAACGCCGCGUGAGUGAAGAAGGUUUUCGGAUCGUAAAACUCUGUUGUUAGAGAAGAACAAGGAUGAGAGUAACUGUUCAUCCCUUGACGGUAUCUAACCAGAAAGCCACGGCUAACUACGUGCCAGCCGCCGCAGUAA
This 524-nucleotide ribosomal RNA is filed under the name uncultured bacterium. RNAcentral describes it as "partial 16S ribosomal RNA". It matches the Rfam family "Bacterial small subunit ribosomal RNA", at positions 28 to 523 of the family's 1533-position model. The record is from RNAcentral.